Non-coding RNA from Canis lupus familiaris (dog), 107 nucleotides. NCBI's taxonomy places the organism in Eukaryota, Metazoa, Chordata, Mammalia, Carnivora, Canidae. The record is from Rfam.
AUCCUUCUGGGUUCAUAAGCAUGAUGACUAGGUGUUUGCACCAUUGUGUGACAUGUGCCUCCCUCAAAACUUGUUAUGACCUCAUCACAUAACCAACCCAUCUGAUG